This 1096-nucleotide long non-coding RNA is filed under the name Cyanistes caeruleus (blue tit). RNAcentral's name for it is "lncRNA (ENSCCEG00000003339.1)". The record is from RNAcentral. Lineage: Eukaryota; Metazoa; Chordata; Aves; Passeriformes; Paridae.
AACUCCGGGAAUUGGUGGAAAAAUUGGAAUUUCCGGGCGGGAAUUCCUCAAUUUUGGGUGAAAAUUCUUCGAUUUUGGGUGGGACUUCUUCGAUUUCCGGUGGGAAUUCGGCAAUUUUGGGUGAAAAUUCAGUAAUUUCGGGUGGGAAUUCUUCGAUUUUGGGUGGGAAUUCCUCGAUUUUGGGUGGAAAUUCCUCAAUUUCGAGUGGGAAUUCCCCUAUUUCAUGUGGGAAUUCCUCGAUUUUGGGUGAAAAUUCAGCAAUUUUGUGUGGGAAUUCCUCGAUUUCGGGUGGAAAUUCUGCGAUUUCCGGUGGGAAUUCCUCGAUUUCGGGUGAAAAUUCAGCAAUUUCGGGUGGAAAUUCGGCAGUUUUGUGCAGGAAUUCCCUGAUUUUGGGCGGGAAUUCCUCGAUUUCGGGUGGGAAUUCCUCAAUUUUGGGUGAAAAUUCAGCAAUUUUGGGUGGGAAUUCCUCGAUUUCCUGCGGGAAUUCCGCGAUUUUGGGUGAAAAUUCAGCAAUUUCGGGUGGAAAUUCGGCAGUUUUGUGCAGGAAUUCCUCGAUUUCGGGCGGGAAUUCCUCGAUUUUGUGUGAAAAUUUCUCGAUUUUGGGUGAAAACUCGGCAAUUUUGGGCGGGAACCCCUCGGUCCCGGCCUGCCCUCACCUGUGCCAGGUGUGUGGGCGGGGCCGGGACCCCCAAACCCCGAACCCGGAGGAGGACGAGGCACGCUCAGAACCCCCCGAAAUUCCGGCAGAUCCCGAAAAUCCCGACGGACCAGGGGAGGUGCCCCCUCAGCCGAGCCCGACCCCCGCUGGAGACCCCGGAGCUCCGGGGGAAUAAUUUGGGAAUGAGGGGAAAAGGACGGAAUUCCCAAAAUUCCCCAAAAUUCCCAGAAAACGCCCCAAAACCGCCCCCGUCUUCCCACAUAAAAUUAAAUCCCUUUGCUGACCCUCCCCCCCCGUCCUCCCGCUGCCUCCCGCGUGUGAUUCGGUGCUGAGGGGGGGAGGGGAGGGGAAGGGAUGAGGGGGGAGCCCCAAAACCGAGAGGAUUCACCCCAAAAUUUCCGCCGGGCAAAAUGGCGGCGCCCUCAACAAAGAUGGCGG